RNAcentral lists this ribosomal RNA (253 nucleotides) under uncultured bacterium. Its description in RNAcentral is "partial 16S ribosomal RNA". It matches the Rfam family "Bacterial small subunit ribosomal RNA", at positions 524 to 776 of the family's 1533-position model. The record is from RNAcentral.
UACGUAGGGGGCAAGCGUUGUCCGGAAUCAUUGGGCGUAAAGCGCGUGUAGGCGGCUUGAUAAGUCUGCUCUGAAAGCCCGGGGCUCAACCCUGGGAGGCGGGUGGAUACUGUCGAGCUCGAGUCCGGAAGAGGCGAGUGGAAUUCCUGGUGUAGCGGUGAAAUGCGCAGAUAUCAGGAAGAACACCCGUGGCGAAGGCGGCUCUCUGGGACGGUACUGACGCUGAGACGCGAAAGCGUGGGGAGCGAACAGG